GCAUCUCUUUCCCUGCAAACGACGUCUAUUCCAAAGCAAUUCAAAGUUCUGCAAUCACUCUCCUUUUUAUGAGCUUUCUUUUUCAUCUUCUCCUUAAUGAAUGUAUGUUGCAUGGACAAAAUUCUAUGUUGAAUCCUCUCUUCUUCAUCAUCUUUUAUGCACAAGAGUGCAGAUCCAUCUCAAUAUUUCAGUGGAAGCAUUAUGUUGAAUCACAAAAGCGGUGAAGCAACUUCUACUAUCAUAUCGUCAUUGGCUAAGAGAUGUAUUCUAGCUAUAUGAUACAUGGGUUACCAACGAGGCAACGAUUAGUGAUUUCACAAAGGCGCAAGCACUUGUAGUGUGUUGUCAUUGUAUAUCACAUACAUGGUGUGUUCCUCAAACAUAAAAGGUAAUAUGGAGAUAGGCAACUCUCAUUUGCUUGGAGUGCAACUUGAACCAAUUUGUUCUGCCUCUGGGAGUAGAAAAAUAGGAGUAUUACAUGGUGUCCGCUUUGUGACUUCACAGACACUCAUCAACUUUUACUUUUGGAAAUUGGUUAAGAGAGUUACGUGGAAAUGAGUAUAAAAUUAGCUGACGUGACUAACCAAGACAUGUCUGAAUGGUUCGGAAAGCAUUUCAAGUAAGUUGCACUCAUUGUGAUUAUCUUCGGUGCUGCUUUAGAUAGGUUCUAAAUGUAUAAUUAAGUUAUUGCACUGUGUCGUUGGUGUUGGUAAUUUAACACAUUUAUUUUAAUACAUUUUCACAUUUUUCAUAGAUUCUUACACUGUUUCGUGUGUGCAAAAUUAAUUUGACUACAAAAAAUAGUUAUUUGACCAUGAUGAUUAUUGAUACAUGCUUUACACUUUACAGAACUUCUGCGCUAGCAUAAGGGAAAAAAAGUUGGAUGGCGUAGUAAUUUAAGUAACAUAAAGAAUGGAAAUAUAGAAAAUUAUUGACCUUGAUCAAAUGUUGAUGAUAAAUGAUUAUCUCAGAAGUUAUACUCACGGUUUCUACCCAAUGCAAGGAAUAAGUGGAAAGAGUUUUCAAGUAAUCGUAGAUAAAUUAAAAAUCCGAUGGAAAGCAUAUAUUUAUUUUUGUUUCGUGUAUGAACAAAUUGUUUUGUCAUACGUGGAUGCUGAACUGGCAUUCGUAAAUUGACUUGAUCUUUUUUUUUCGUAGAUUUUACUUGCAUCAUUCUAUGCAUAUGAAUGAGUUGCAUUGUGCUUGGCUAAUAACUAAAUCAAGAGUGAGGUUUGCUUAUGGAUGGUAUAAAUAUUGCAAACUUGAACUUUCUUUUGAACUAUGGAUACGAUAUGUUGUAAUAAGUCAAUUGUAACUCUCUUAGACCUCUUUCCCUGAAAAAUUCUGUGUUUCAUUCAAUUAGAGUUUUCACUACAAGAAUGACCGAUGUAAACAGGCACAAGAAUUGUUUAUCUAUUGGGGAAGGGGUGUAUGAACACUACAAAGAGAAGUUGUACAAGAUAUUAUGUGGAUUAUACUAUAAAUGGUGGACUAUUUCAUUUGUGAUUAAAUUUCUUUAUCGUUCUCCUAUUAGGCAAUAAUCAUGUGUAUUGCUUCUAAAAACACAAGCCAUUUCAAAUUUUGCUAAACUUCCAUAUCUAUGACGAUCUCUGUUGGGUACAUUGAGAUUGUGGAUUUAUGAUUUGGCUAAUUUCUUCUUUGUUCAAGAGUCACUACUUUGUUACUCUGUACCUAAUGACAUAAAAGUUACUUGCCUGUGAUAUUAUUGGGAUCAGUUGUUUGUACUUUUUCAUUUGAGUUAGCAGGUUUCAACAUAUGUUGACACUAAAACAAGUUCUGCCUCUCAAGUGUGGUUGCACUUCUAUGUAUAUGUGAGCAUCCUCUCAUUUUUAAUCUAAAUUAGAUGUUACUGAUCCAUACGUGAGUAGUUCUAGAAUAUGUAGUGCAUUUGUUCCAAGUAAUUUUUCUAUUUCCUUUUUUUUAUACUUUUUGAAUAGCAGACAAUUCUUUUUACCCAAAAAUGAGCAGGGCCUCUCUUCAAUUUGAGAGUCUUACUUGCACUAACAUUUUGUUAGUAUUUCUACUUUAUGAUUAAUUUGGUUGUUGUCUAUAAUGGUAAUCUUUACAUACUACAUUCAUUUACUCCUAUUCUUAGAAAUAGUCAGAUGAAUUCUCAAAAAAGAAAAAAGUCACAGAUGAAGUAUAAGCUUGACAGGUUCAAUUGUAGAUGAAUUAUAAAGCAUGUAGAAAGCUUUAUAUUUGUUUUAGCUUCGUGUAUGAACAUUAUCUUUGUUGUGAUAUGUGGAUGUUGAACUGAAUGUGUUGGGAAGUUUUCUAUUUCAAGACAUAUCAAGUAUUGUCAUGCUGCAUAACUAUCUUGUGGUGUGGCUUUGAAUCUACUGAAAUAAUUUUUGCUUUCUCAGAUCAAAUCUGAAAUAAAUUAUCCUCAGAUAAUUUGGCUUGUUUUUUCUUUAUUUCUGGAUCAACAACUUGAAUAUAAUUAGAAUGAGAUAACUUUUUAAUAUAAUUUUUAUACUUAAAAAAAAAACUCAUGUGGCAGUGUGUGCUCAUAUUGUGGUAAUAUUGUGUUUUUUCGCUUGUACAUUUUGAUGUCGUUUGUAAAUUGACUUUACCUCCUUUU
Solanum tuberosum (potato) is the source of this 2602-nucleotide long non-coding RNA. RefSeq lists it as uncharacterized. Lineage: Eukaryota; Viridiplantae; Streptophyta; Magnoliopsida; Solanales; Solanaceae. The transcript has 5 exons. The record is from RefSeq and is a predicted model, not a curated record.